This 253-nucleotide ribosomal RNA is filed under the name uncultured bacterium. RNAcentral describes it as "partial 16S ribosomal RNA". It matches the Rfam family "Bacterial small subunit ribosomal RNA", at positions 524 to 776 of the family's 1533-position model. The record is from RNAcentral.
UACGAAGGGGGCUAGCGUUGUUCGGAAUUACUGGGCGUAAAGCGUGCGUAGGUGGUGAGUUAAGUCUGUCGUGAAAGCCCCGGGCUCAACCUGGGAAUGGCGAUGGAUACUGGCUCGCUAGAGUGCGGUAGAGGAGAGUGGAAUUCCCGGUGUAGCAGUGAAAUGCGUAGAGAUCGGGAGGAACAUCAGUUGCGAAGGCGGCUCUCUGGACCAGCACUGACACUGGGGCACGAAAGCGUGGGGAGCAAACAGG